AUGUCAGAGCUAGAAAAUAACUUAGAUGCGAUUUUGAUUCAGCGCUGGGCAACACCCGUCCCGCUGCCCCAGGGCCCGCUAGGCGCCUGGCAUAAUGGGAGAAAAUCACGACGGAAAGGUCCAGCCCCUCACCAUGCAGACGGGAAGCUCAGCCGCACGUGUGAGAACCCUUACGCCCCUUGGGGCUUCACCCCCGCUUCGCCGGCUCCAACAACCUGGGUCGGGGCCUCCUUGUCCUGUUGGGGCCUUUCUGCCCCACGAACACAGGCCCGAGCCAGGGCGAGGCCCGCGGGCCUCCCACCCGCCGUGCGUAGGCUGCCCUUCAGCGCCCCAGCACUGCGCUUGCGGCACCACCUGGGUCCCUUUUCCAUUCUGAUGACGUCCCUGUACGUCGUGGCUGCACGCUGCUCAAGACCCAGGUCUGUGCAGGUACCAGCAAAGUAGUAGAAUAUCGGUGCUACAUCUUUCUGGAGCACCCAUUUUACUACCGGAUUUGGAAGGAACGAAGUAAAGUAAUCUCCAAGAAUCAUCUCCCCUGCCCCACAAACAUGAAAGAAAAGACAAGAGAAGCACCACAGAAGAGGAGGGGAGAAGUGCUCCAGAAAAAGGUUAUCCAGUGUCUGAAACUUCGCCCAGGUGGGCACAGGCCAGCAAGCCUCUCCUCUGGUUGCCCAGCUAGCUGCAGGCUGUCAUAUAACCUUCUGCCCGGCGUGCUUUUGAGUGUGCGGAAGUGCUGUAUGCCCUCUUCUUUGAAAACCUGUUGAGCAAAUGCCUCCGCGUUUUAUGCCCCUUCAACCUCCACCGCCAAAGGCUCCCAACACCAAACAUGCUGUGCACACACAGCAGCUCUUUGUGUCCUGCUCCUGGCUGAUCUCCUGCAUCAUCUUGUUGAGCUCCAUUGAACUCCGCAGUCUGCAUGCUCUGUGGAACUCAGGGUCUUCUUGCUCCAUGGAACUCACGGUCUUCAUUUUCCAUGGAAAUCAAAGUCUUCUUACUCUGUGGAACUUGAGUUCUCCUGGCUCCGUGGAACUCAGGGCCUUUGUGCUCCAUGGAACUCAGGGUCCUUGUGCUCUGUGGUACUCGGGGUCUGUGUGCUCCAUGUAACUCGGGGACUGCAUGCUCCAUGGGAAGCACUGGGACACACUUGACCCCCCACACCCACACAUACAUCCUUCAUUUUAAUCCUGCCCCUCACCUGUCCACCUGUGAGGCUUCUUCACCCCCACUCUGCUUUGAGCUCAUGCCGGGUCUUUCGGGCUGGCCUGAAGCAUGGGUGUUGGUAGGAGGAAGUGGCUGAGGUCACACAUUCAGGCAAAUUCUGCUGGUGUCACACCUGAUGGAGCUGCCUGGGGAGGAUGUUUCCUUGGAGGAUGUGCCCUGGUGGCCACUGGCUUCUCAUGGUGCCCACACUGCUGCUGAUGCCAUGGGGGAGCCACAGGGCCACACAGGGGGCUAUUCUGGAAUUGGUGGUUUUCAUCUCCACGUUAGGUAAGAACUGGCAGGCAACUUGGCUGUCCUUGUGGCCUCUUGGCUGACCCUGGUCCUCCCCAGGUUGCUGAUUUUCUGGGCUGCUGCUCUUCCAGGAGGAAUUAAAGGUGGGAAUGGCUGAAACCUGUGCUUUGGAUUAGCAGAGACCCUAGGCUGCGUCAUGCAGAAAAGGGAAGGAUUGCAGAUGGUGGUGGGAUCAGCCGAAGGCAGGGGCUUCACUGUGAUGCUGGAGCCCUCCACGUUGGGAUGUUUGCAUACAGCCCAGGUUCAGUUAAGUGGCCCAUCAGCGAGUCCUGGAUCUGGUCUCACUCACAAGCCAUGGACAACAUGAGCUCAAUUUGCCAGGGCUCCCUGGGAGGGGAUGGGAGAGCCUGGGAAAGAGGCUGAGCUGCCUGUUACCCCCACCCCACACCCUGCCUCCUGUAAUCCCUUAGGAGGUCCACACUUUGAGUUGUCAGCCAGAGACAGUAACUCAAAACCUCGGCUUUGGGCAGCCAGACACCCAGAAAUGAGGGAGAGGGCAGGCCUAGACACCAAAAUAAAAGUCUAUAUAUUUUAAUAUAAAUACCAGAGGUGUUUGAACCAGAGCAACUCCAUCUUGAAUAGGUCCUGGGUAAUUUAGGCCCCACCCUUAAGCCUGGAGAAUCUUGAAUGAGGCUGAGACCUACUGGGCUGCAUUCCUAGGAAGGUAGGCAUUCUAAGUCACAGGAUGAGAUAGCAGGUCAGCACAAGAUACAGGUCACAAAGACCUUGCUGAUAAAACAGGUUGUGGUAAAGAAGCCAGCCACAACCAAGAUGGUGAUGAAAGUGAUGUCUGGUUCUCCUCACUGCUCAUUGUACGCUAAUUAUGAUGUAUUAGAAUGCUAAAAGACACUCCCACCAGCAUCAUGACAGUUUAGGAAUGCCAUGGCAAUGUCAGGAAGUUACCCUAUAUGGUCUAAAAGGGGGACGAACCCUCAAUUCCAGGAAUUGCCCACACCUUUCCUGGAAGAUGCAUGGAUAAUCCACCCCUUGUUUAGUAUGUAAUCAAAAAGUAACAAUAAGUACAAGCAGUUGAGCACCGCAUGCCACUGCUCUGCCUAUGGAGUGGCCAUUCUUUUAUUCCUUUACUUUCUCUAAUAAA
Molecule: RNA transcript, 2611 nt
Organism: Rhinopithecus roxellana (golden snub-nosed monkey)
Lineage: Eukaryota; Metazoa; Chordata; Mammalia; Primates; Cercopithecidae
Exons: 3
Source: RefSeq, a predicted model, not a curated record